Lagopus leucura (white-tailed ptarmigan) is the source of this 165-nucleotide long non-coding RNA. RefSeq lists it as uncharacterized. NCBI's taxonomy places the organism in Eukaryota, Metazoa, Chordata, Aves, Galliformes, Phasianidae. The transcript has 3 exons. The record is from RefSeq and is a predicted model, not a curated record.
CACCUUCAGAAAGUUUGCAGGCAGCCCCGUGCUGAGAGGUGCGGUGGAUCAAACAGGAGCUGGGGCACCUUGAUGAAGACUGUGCAACAGAACUUGCUGUGUUUCACAACCAGAGCAGAGAGAGUAUAUCAGCAUUAAUAUCAGAGGUGGAAUUGUGACCAGAUG